Molecule: ribosomal RNA, 121 nt
Filed under: Anabas testudineus (climbing perch)
Lineage: Eukaryota; Metazoa; Chordata; Actinopteri; Anabantiformes; Anabantidae
Source: RNAcentral
GCUUACGGCCAUACCACCCUGAACACGCCCGAUCUCCUCCGAUCUCGGAAGCCAAGCAGGGUAGGGACCUUGUUAGUACUUGGAUGGGAGACCAGCCUGGGAAUACCAGGUGCUGUAGCUU